This 254-nucleotide ribosomal RNA is filed under the name uncultured bacterium. RNAcentral's name for it is "partial 16S ribosomal RNA". It matches the Rfam family "Bacterial small subunit ribosomal RNA", at positions 524 to 776 of the family's 1533-position model. The record is from RNAcentral.
UACAGAGGGUGGAAGCGUUGUUCGGAAUUAUUGGGCGUAAAGGGCGCGUAGGCGGCCACUGCAAGUCGGUUGUGAAAUCUCCGGGCUUAACCCGGAAAGGUCAACCGAUACUGCAGGGCUAGAGUGCAGAAGGGGCAACUGGAAUUCUCGGUGUAGCGGCGAAAUGCGUAGAUAUCGAGAGGAACACCUGCGGCGAAGGCGGGUUGCUGGGCUGACACUGACGCUGAUGCGCGAAAGCUAGGGGAGCGAACGGG